Molecule: RNA transcript, 813 nt
Organism: Octodon degus (degu)
Lineage: Eukaryota; Metazoa; Chordata; Mammalia; Rodentia; Octodontidae
Gene name: small nuclear ribonucleoprotein-associated proteins B and B' pseudogene
Exons: 1
Source: RefSeq, a predicted model, not a curated record
AGCGGCGGGAAACAGGCUACUGGCCCUGUGUAGGCCUCUGUGGAGGCGAAUCCGGCGCGUAUCUGAACCAUCAGAACCGCCACCAUGACGGUGGGCAAGAGCAGCAAGAUGCUGCAGCACAUUGACUACAGGAUGAGGUGCAUCCUGCAAGACGGCCGGAUCUUCAUAGGCACCUUCAAGGCUUUCAACAAGCAUAUGAACUUGAUCCUCUGUGACUGUGAUGAAUUCAGGAAGAUCAAGCCAAAGAACUCUAAGCAAGCAGAAAGAGAAGAGAAACGAGUCCUCGGUCUGGUGCUGCUGCGAGGGGAGAACCUGGUCUCCAUGACAGUGGAAGGACCUCCUCCCAAAGAUACUGGCAUUGCCCGAGUGCCACUUGCUGGAGCUGCUGGGGGCCCAGGAAUCGGUAGGGCUGCGGUAGGGCUGCGGGUAGAGGAAUCCCAGCUGGUGUUCCCAUGCCACAGGCUCCUGCAGGACUUGCUGGGCCAGUCCGUGGGGUUGGUGGGCCAUCCCAACAGGUGAUGACCCCACAAGGAAGAGGCACUGUUGCGGCUGCUGCAGCUGCCGCCACAGCUAGUAUUGCAGGGGCCCCGACCCAGUACCCGCCUGGCCGUGGGGGUCCUCCUCCACCUAUGGGCCGAGGGGCACCCCCUCCAGGAAUGAUGGGCCCUCCUCCUGGCAUGCGACCACCUAUGGGUCCCCCAAUGGGGAUCCCUCCUGGACGAGGGACUCCUAUGGGCAUGCCCCCUCCAGGGAUGCAGCCCCCUCCCCCAGGGCCCCCUCCCCCGGGAAUGCGCCCACCAAGGCCCUAGACUC